This is a long non-coding RNA of Dromiciops gliroides (monito del monte), 425 nucleotides long. RefSeq lists it as uncharacterized. Lineage: Eukaryota; Metazoa; Chordata; Mammalia; Microbiotheria; Microbiotheriidae. The record is from RefSeq and is a predicted model, not a curated record. The transcript has 3 exons.
GGGCUCUGUCCAGAUGCGCCUGGGCGUCGUGUUCGGAUUGUUCUGUCACCCAUCGCCCUGUCUCAUUUUUCUCCUCGACCUCGUGCACCUUAGUUUACUUCCACUUUGUAUGCACAACUCACAAGUAGUCAGGGCCGAGGGAGCUCAGAGGAAGAAGCAGAUACUGGAACUACUGGGUGCUACAGCAGUUGGUGACUGCUUUCAGGGAAGGCACAGACUUCAUUGAAGUCAUAACAAAUAUAGGCUUUUCAGGAGGGAUCGACCAUGGAGAUCUUGAGUCAAAUGCUUGAGGAGAAGGGAAUCAGUUGCGUUCAGAGAUGUAGCUGUGGACUUCACUCCAGAGGAACUGAGGCAUCUGGAACCUGCUCAGAAGGACCUCUACAGGGAAGUGAUGCUAGAGAACUAUAGGAACCUAGUAUUGCUGG